CUGGGACAAGCCCUGGAAACGGGGUCUAAUACCGGAUAACACCGGCUUCCGCAUGGGAGCUGGUUGAAAGCUCCGGCGGUGAAGGAUGAGCCCGCGGCCUAUCAGCUUGUUGGUGGGGUAAUGGCCUACCAAGGCGACGACGGGUAGCCGGCCUGAGAGGGCGACCGGCCACACUGGGACUGAGACACGGCCCAGACUCCUACGGGAGGCAGCAGUGGGGAAUAUUGCACAAUGGGCGAAAGCCUGAUGCAGCGACGCCGCGUGAGGGAUGACGGCCUUCGGGUUGUAAACCUCUUUCAGCAGGGAAGAAGCGAAAGUGACGGUACCUGCAGAAGAAGCGCCGGCUAACUACGUGCCAGCAGCCGCGGUAAUACGUAGGGCGCAAGCGUUGUCCGGAAUUAUUGGGCGUAAAGAGCUCGUAGGCGGCUUGUCACGUCGGAUGUGAAAGCCCGGGGCUUAACCCCGGGUCUGCAUUCGAUACGGGCAGGCUAGAGUGUGGUAGGGGAGAUCGGAAUUCCUGGUGUAGCGGUGAAAUGCGCAGAUAUCAGGAGGAACACCGGUGGCGAAGGCGGAUCUCUGGGCCAUUACUGACGCUGAGGAGCGAAAGCGUGGGGAGCGAACAGGAUUAGAUACCCUGGUAGUCCACGCCGUAAACGUUGGGAACUAGGUGUUGGCGACAUUCCACGUCGUCGGUGCCGCAGCUAACGCAUUAAGUUCCCCG
RNAcentral lists this ribosomal RNA (721 nucleotides) under Actinomycetes bacterium. RNAcentral's name for it is "bacterial SSU rRNA". It matches the Rfam family "Bacterial small subunit ribosomal RNA", at positions 138 to 871 of the family's 1533-position model. Lineage: Bacteria; Bacillati; Actinomycetota; Actinomycetes. The record is from RNAcentral.